UACGGGGGGGGCAAGCGUUGUUCGGAAUUACUGGGCGUAAAGCGUGCGCAGGCGGUUCGACAAGUCCGAUGUGAAAGCCCCGGGCUCAACCUGGGAAUGGCAUUGGAAACUGGCGGGCUGGAGUGUGGCAGAGGGGGGUGGAAUUCCGCGUGUAGCAGUGAAAUGCGUAGAGAUGCGGAGGAACACCGAUGGCGAAGGCAGCCCCCUGGGCUGACACUGACGCUCAGGCACGAAAGCGUGGGGAGCAAACAGG
Molecule: ribosomal RNA, 253 nt
Filed under: uncultured bacterium
Lineage: Bacteria
Description: partial 16S ribosomal RNA
Rfam family: Bacterial small subunit ribosomal RNA
Source: RNAcentral